Molecule: non-coding RNA, 71 nt
Organism: Ictidomys tridecemlineatus (thirteen-lined ground squirrel)
Lineage: Eukaryota; Metazoa; Chordata; Mammalia; Rodentia; Sciuridae
Source: Rfam
GUGUGUGUAGCUCAGUGGCAGAGCAUGUGUUUAGCAAGAGUGAGGCCUGGGCUCAAUCCCCAGCAUGCCCG